RNAcentral lists this ribosomal RNA (374 nucleotides) under uncultured bacterium. Its description in RNAcentral is "bacterial SSU rRNA". It matches the Rfam family "Bacterial small subunit ribosomal RNA", at positions 523 to 898 of the family's 1533-position model. The record is from RNAcentral.
AAACGUAGGACGCGAGCGUUAUCCGGAUUUACUGGGCGUAAAGCGCGUGCAGGCGGCCUGUUAAGUCGUGCGUGAAAGCUCCCUGGCUCAACCGGGAGAGGCCGUACGAAACUAGCAGGCUAGAGGGCAGCAGAGGAGUGUGGAAUUCCGGGUGUAGUGGUGAAAUGCGUAGAUAUCCGGAGGAACACCAGUGGCGAAGGCGGCACUCUGGGCCGUACCUGACGCUAAGACGCGAAAGCGUGGGUAGCGAACGGGAUUAGAAACCCCGGUAGUCCACGCCGUAAACGAUGUGCACUAGGCGUAUGUUCUACGGAAUGGGUGCCGAAGCUAACGCGAUAAGUGCACCGCCUGGGGACUACGGCCGCAAGGCUAAA